GAUUAACGCUAGCGGCAGGCCUAAUACAUGCAAGUCGAACGAACUCUUCGGAGUUAGUGGCGGACGGGUGAGUAACACGUGGGAACGUGCCUUUAGGUUCGGAAUAACUCAGGGAAACUUGUGCUAAUACCGAAUGUGCCCUUCGGGGGAAAGAUUUAUCGCCUUUAGAGCGGCCCGCGUCUGAUUAGCUAGUUGGUGAGGUAAAGGCUCACCAAGGCUACGAUCAGUAGCUGGUCUGAGAGGAUGACCAGCCACAUUGGGACUGAGACACGGCCCAAACUCCUACGGGAGGCAGCAGUGGGGAAUCUUGCGCAAUGGGCGAAAGCCUGACGCAGCCAUGCCGCGUGGAUGAUGAAGGUCUUAGGAUUGUAAAAUCCUUUCACCGGUGAAGAUAAUGACUGUAGCCGGAGAAGAAGCCCCGGCUAACUUCGUGCCAGCAGCCGCGGUAAAGUCUGUACU
This 459-nucleotide ribosomal RNA is filed under the name uncultured bacterium. RNAcentral describes it as "bacterial SSU rRNA". It matches the Rfam family "Bacterial small subunit ribosomal RNA", at positions 28 to 531 of the family's 1533-position model. The record is from RNAcentral.